CAGCCGUAAACUAUGCGCGUUAGGUGUACUGGUGACCACGAGUCACCGGGGUGCCGAAGGGAAACCGUGAAACGUGCCGCCUGGGAAGUACGGUCGCAAGGCUGAAACUUAAAGGAAUUGGCGGGGGAGCACCACAACGGGUGGAGCCCGCGGUUUAAUUGGACUCAACGCCGGAAAUCUCACCGGAUAGGACAGACAUAUGAUAGUCGGGCUGAAGACUCUACUUGAUGAUCUGAGAGGUGGUGCAUGGCGUCAGUGACU
Molecule: ribosomal RNA, 261 nt
Filed under: uncultured archaeon
Lineage: Archaea
Description: partial 16S ribosomal RNA
Rfam family: Archaeal small subunit ribosomal RNA
Source: RNAcentral